RNAcentral lists this ribosomal RNA (678 nucleotides) under Phlegmacium cf. glaucopus UBCOGTR0449s. RNAcentral describes it as "eukaryotic LSU rRNA". The stretch from base 183 to 336 matches the Rfam family "5.8S ribosomal RNA". Lineage: Eukaryota; Fungi; Basidiomycota; Agaricomycetes; Agaricales; Cortinariaceae. The record is from RNAcentral.
GUGCACACUUGUCAUCUUUAUAUCUNCCUUUUGUAGACCUGGAUAUCUCUCUGAANGCUAGCCACUCAGGUUNGAGGAUUGACUUUAUGUCUCUCCUUGCAUUUCCAGGCCUAUGUUUCUUUAUAUACCCAAUGUAUGUCAUAGAAUNUAAUCAAUNGGCCUUUGUGCCUAUAAACCUAUACAACUUUCAGCAACGGAUCUCUUGGCUCUCGCAUCGAUGAAGAACGCAGCGAAAUGCGAUAAGUAAUNUGAAUUGCAGAAUUCAGUGAAUCAUCGAAUCUUUGAACGCACCUUGCGCUCCUUNGUAUUCCGAGGAGCAUGCCUGUUUGAGUGUCAUUAAUAUAUCAACCUCUUCAACUUUUGUUUGUCGGGUGUUGGAUUUGGGGGUCUUUUUUGCUGGCCUAAGGUCAGCUCCCCUGAAAUGCAUUAGCAGAACAAUUUGUGAACCCGUUCAUUGGUGUGAUAACUAUCUACGCUGUUGACGUGAAACAAGUUCAGCUUCUAACAGUCUAUUGACUUGGACAACUUUUCAUUAAUGNGACCUCAAAUCAGGUAGGACUACCCGCUGAACUUAAGCAUAUCAAUAAGCGGAGGAAAAGAAACUAACAAGGANUCCCCUAGUAACUGCGAGUGAAGCGGGAAAAGCUCAAUUUAAAAUCUGUCAGUCUUUGGCUGUCC